GCUGGUGCCCCGCGGUGAGGCCGGCCAGCAUGGAGAACCACUCCUUGGGGUACUGCGGACGCUUCUUGGCGUACGUCUCCGACGGCUUCUCGUAGAGCCCCGCCAUUCUUUCUCAAUUCUUAGCUUCGGCUAUCUCGGUAUCGCCUGCCUAUCAGCUGCCAAGUGCGGUUCGAUCUUGGAUGGAAUUCAUAGCCACAAAAGUGGCCAAAGUCAUAGCCAAUUCAAAAAGAGGAACUUUUGCAUUAUCCACUGAAUCAAAGCAAAGGUUGACUCAGACUGCAACAUCACAUGCAUGGGGAAUCUUGUGCGGCAGCAGAAACCAUACACAACAUGAGAUGAUUUUCCACAUAGUAGUAUGAAGAAAGCAGGGACAGGCUGAUGCAGCAGUCAGGGGGUGAGGGCAGCAGUGAUACACAGAAGAGACAAGCGACGCGGCACAACAAGAGUGACACACAGAAGAAACUAAGAAAUGUCUAUUCACACUUGGAUGAUAAAUAAAAGCACUAGAUUUAAAGUGCUCAUAUGAGCACAAGAGCUACAUGAGCACAGGAUAUGUUCCCGAGUCUAAAACCUGUAGGCUGUAGAAACUUGUGUUAGCGUAAGGAGAUCCACCAAAUUCUGAAACCUGUAUAUCGUGCAAUAACCCAAUAAAGUAAAUUAACGUGAGGUGAGUCGUCAGUUGCUCACUCUUAACUUUUCUGCCCA
This is a long non-coding RNA of Zea mays, 705 nucleotides long. RefSeq lists it as uncharacterized. The record is from RefSeq and is a predicted model, not a curated record. NCBI's taxonomy places the organism in Eukaryota, Viridiplantae, Streptophyta, Magnoliopsida, Poales, Poaceae. The transcript has 2 exons.